UACGGAGGGUGCAAGCGUUAAUCGGAAUUACUGGGCGUAAAGCGCGCGUAGGCGGUUGUCUAAGCUAGAUGUGAAAGCCCCGGGCUCAACCUGGGAACUGCAUUUAGAACUGGACGACUAGAGUACAGCAGAGGGGUGUGGAAUUUCAGGUGUAGCGGUGAAAUGCGUAGAGAUCUGAAGGAACAUCAGUGGCGAAGGCGACACCCUGGGUUGAUACUGACGCUGAGGUGCGAAAGCGUGGGGAGCAAACAGG
RNAcentral lists this ribosomal RNA (253 nucleotides) under uncultured bacterium. RNAcentral describes it as "partial 16S ribosomal RNA". It matches the Rfam family "Bacterial small subunit ribosomal RNA", at positions 524 to 776 of the family's 1533-position model. The record is from RNAcentral.